UAGACGGAGUCUCAUUUGACCUGUGAUGGA
RNAcentral lists this non-coding RNA (30 nucleotides) under Rattus norvegicus (Norway rat). Lineage: Eukaryota; Metazoa; Chordata; Mammalia; Rodentia; Muridae. The record is from RNAcentral.